Molecule: ribosomal RNA, 457 nt
Filed under: Microcystis aeruginosa
Lineage: Bacteria; Bacillati; Cyanobacteriota; Cyanophyceae; Chroococcales; Microcystaceae
Description: bacterial SSU rRNA
Rfam family: Bacterial small subunit ribosomal RNA
Source: RNAcentral
ACUUCAGGACGGGGACAACAGUUGGAAACGACUGCUAAUACCCGAUGUGCCGCAAGGUGAAACCUAAUUGGCCUGAAGAAGAGCUUGCGUCUGAUUAGCUAGUUGGUGGGGUAAGAGCCUACCAAGGCGACGAUCAGUAGCUGGUCUGAGAGGAUGAGCAGCCACACUGGGACUGAGACACGGCCCAGACUCCUACGGGAGGCAGCAGUGGGGAAUUUUCCGCAAUGGGCGAAAGCCUGACGGAGCAACGCCGCGUGAGGGAGGAAGGUCUUUGGAUUGUAAACCUCUUUUCUCAAGGAAGAAGUUCUGACGGUACUUGAGGAAUCAGCCUCGGCUAACUCCGUGCCAGCAGCCGCGGUAAUACGGGGGAGGCAAGCGUUAUCCGGAAUUAUUGGGCGUAAAGCGUCCGCAGGUGGUCAGCCAAGUCUGCCGUCAAAUCAGGUUGCUUAACGACCUA